GAGGAUAUAGCUCAGGGGUAGAGCGCGUGCUUAGCGUGCACAAGGUCCUAGGUUCAAUCCCCAGUCCCUCG
This 71-nucleotide transfer RNA is filed under the name Camelus bactrianus (Bactrian camel). It matches the Rfam family "tRNA". From Rfam's summary of the family: Transfer RNA (tRNA) molecules are approximately 80 nucleotides in length. Their secondary structure includes four short double-helical elements and three loops (D, anti-codon, and T loops). The record is from Rfam by way of RNAcentral. RNAcentral also lists the same sequence under 1 other name. Lineage: Eukaryota; Metazoa; Chordata; Mammalia; Artiodactyla; Camelidae.